UACGUAGGGGGCAAGCGUUGUCCGGAAUUAUUGGGCGUAAAGCGCGCGCAGGCGGUCCUUUAAGUCUGAUGUGAAAGUCCACGGCUCAACCGUGGGAUUGCAUUGGAAACUGGGGGACUUGAGUGCAGUAGAGGAGAGUGGAAUUCCUGGUGUAGCGGUGAAAUGCGUAGAGAUCAGGAGGAACAUCAAUGGCGAAGGCAGCUCUCUGGACUGUAACUGACGCUGAGGCGCGAAAGCGUGGGUAGCAAACAGG
This 253-nucleotide ribosomal RNA is filed under the name Bacillaceae bacterium. RNAcentral describes it as "partial 16S ribosomal RNA". It matches the Rfam family "Bacterial small subunit ribosomal RNA", at positions 524 to 776 of the family's 1533-position model. The record is from RNAcentral. RNAcentral also lists the same sequence under 1 other name. Lineage: Bacteria; Bacillati; Bacillota; Bacilli; Caryophanales; Bacillaceae.